GCGUUCGCCGAAAGAAUCCAGUAAUUGGAAGCUAUGUACAUAUGGCUCUACAGCUGUACCAGGUUGACUAUAAGUCACAUUUGCUGGAUUUCAAGAUUAUAUGUAAUGAGCCUGCAGAUUUGGUGGCACAGGAAAAGAGGAAUAAUCAAGAUGAAGUCCAGACGCAGGGACAUCACGUCAUGGAAUUCUUUGAAAUGUGUGCAGCUCUAAUCACCGAACUAGCUCGUUAAGAGCUGCACUUCCUAUCAAUAGUCCUGAUGUGCCUAAAACAUUUAUGAUUUGGAUCUCUUACUUGUAACAUCAGUGCAAUGUUGCGAAAUCCAUUUAGAUAUCUAGACAGGAAUGGUAUGUACAUAUAUAUACACAUAUCUCUCAAUAUUCCUUUUUUAUGCAAUUAUAAGUAUACACUUUACUUAUAAAGUUAUAUGUAAAGAUUGUCACCAUUUGUUUUUUCUACAUCUAUAAUGCUGUUUAGCUACUUGCUUUAUUCUGUUUUUAAGGUAUUGCAGUUCUUUAGCUGUAUUUUUCUCUUAGUUUUCAAGUAUUCAGAGCUUAAUAAUUACAAUUAAAAGAUAAACUAGAUUGAUUAUAACUAAACCAUAUGAUUAUGUUUAUGUCCAAAGGGAAGAUUAAAAUUUUGGUUCAGUAAUUAGGUUAACAAGUAUAUAAAAUAAGACAUUUUGGUACACAAAAAUAAAUGCUUGUGAUCCUUUGUUCUGUACUAAUACAAGUAGUUAUAAGAUAACAUAAAUCAUGCACUGCAGUUUUUGCUUGUAGAGAUUUAUAACUAUUAGUUAUUUCAAUUUGUAUUUCUUUUUGUAUCUUUUCAUGCCAAUUGUCAAUUUAUAUUUUAUCACUAAAAAUGUUUAUCAAGAUAUGUUUCUGGUAGAUGCAUUGCAGAUCAUAUUUAUAUAAUGUAAAUAUUAUAAAAUUCUGUAUUUAUAUUAUAUGCUUUACGUACUUCUAAAUUGUAUAAUCAAAUUUUUAUCUCUAUAUUUUUUUUUAAUAAGUACUAUAUGAAUAAUUUUAAAUAUAUACACCAUGAUUAAAUUCAGUUUAAAUAAAGUACCAAAAGGAUAGGCUUAUUACAUAUAAUGAUGUGUCAUAUACUAAUAAGUAUAACAGAUAUGUAACUUGAGCAUAUCAACAAUCUUUUUAAAAUUAAGGCAUAAGUCCUCUUUUCAAAGGGAUGUGGUGUAUCACAACUUUCUGAUUAUGUAAAUAAAAUGUGGUACAGUAUUGUACAUAAAAGCGCA
Long non-coding RNA from Penaeus indicus, 1256 nucleotides. RefSeq lists it as uncharacterized. NCBI's taxonomy places the organism in Eukaryota, Metazoa, Arthropoda, Malacostraca, Decapoda, Penaeidae. The record is from RefSeq and is a predicted model, not a curated record. The transcript has 2 exons.